AUUGAACGCUGGCGGCAGGCCUAACACAUGCAAGUCGAACGAGUGGCGGACGGGUGAGUAAUGUCUGGGAAACUGCCCGAUGGAGGGGGAUAACUACUGGAAACGGUAGCUAAUACCGCAUACCAUCGGCUGUGCCCAGAUGGGAUUAGCUAGUUGGUGGGGUAAAGGCAUACCAAGGCAACGAGCCGUAGCUGGUUUGAGAGGACGAUCAGCCACACUGGGACUGAGACACGGCCCAGACUCCUACGGGAGGCAGCAGUGGGGAAUUUUGGACCAUGGAGGAAACCCUGAUCCAGCCAUGCCGCGUGUAUGAUGAAGGCCUUCGGGUUGUAAAGUACUUUUAGUAGAGAAGCGGUAUCUGCAGAAUAAGCACCGGCUAACUACGUGCCAGCAGCCGCGGUAAUUC
RNAcentral lists this ribosomal RNA (406 nucleotides) under uncultured bacterium. Its description in RNAcentral is "partial 16S ribosomal RNA". It matches the Rfam family "Bacterial small subunit ribosomal RNA", at positions 30 to 526 of the family's 1533-position model. The record is from RNAcentral.